UGGGGAAUCAUGGUCAAUGGGCGAAAGCCUGAACCUGCGACGCCGCGUGAGUGAUGAAGGUCGUAAGAUCGUAAAACUCUUUUCAGGGAUCUUAAAGCCUGUCUGUCAACAACAGGCAGGUCUGACUCUCUCUGGAAGAAGCCCCAGCCAACUACGUGCCAGCAGCUGCGGUAAUACGUAGGGGGCGAGCGUUAUUCGGAAUUACUGGGUGUAAAGGGUCUGUAGCCGGCCGGAUAAGUCUCUUGAGAAAUCUGGCAGCUUAACUGUCAGGCUUUCAGGAGAUACUGUCUGGCUCGAGGCCGGGAGAGGUGAGAGGUACUUCAGGGGUAGGGGUGAAAUCUUGUAAUCCUUGAAGGACCACCAGUGGCGAAGGCGGCUUCCUGGCACAAUACUGACGCUCAUGUGCGAAAGCUAGGGUAGCGAACG
Molecule: ribosomal RNA, 426 nt
Filed under: uncultured prokaryote
Description: bacterial SSU rRNA
Rfam family: Bacterial small subunit ribosomal RNA
Source: RNAcentral